Molecule: ribosomal RNA, 253 nt
Filed under: uncultured bacterium
Lineage: Bacteria
Description: partial 16S ribosomal RNA
Rfam family: Bacterial small subunit ribosomal RNA
Source: RNAcentral
GACAGAGGGUGCAAACGUUGUUCGGAAUUACUGGGCGUAAAGCGCGUGUAGGCGGCUGAGCAAGUCGGAUGUGAAAGCCCUGGGCUUAACCUAGGAAGUGCAUUCGAAACUGCUUGGCUUGAGUUCUGGAGAGGAAGGCGGAAUUCUCGGUGUAGAGGUGAAAUUCGUAGAUAUCGAGAGGAACACCUGCGGCGAAGGCGGGUAGCUGGGCCGACACUGACGCUGAUGCGCGAAAGCCAGGGGAGCGAACGGG